AUACGGAGGAUGCAAGCGUUAUCCGGAUUUAUUGGGUUUAAAGGGUGCGUAGGCGGUUUGCUAAGCGGGAGGUGAAAUGCCGGCGCUCAACGUCGGAAGUGCCUCCCGAACUGGUGGACUGGAAUGACUCUGCCGUGGGAGGAAUGUGUAGUGUAGCGGUGAAAUGCUUAGAGAUUACACAGAACACCGAUUGCGAAGGCAUCUCACGAAGGGUUGAUUGACGCUGAGGCACGAAAGCGUGGGGAUCAAACAGGAUUAGAUACCCUGGUAGUCCACGCAGUAAACGGUGAUGGCUAACCGCUGGUUUAUUCGGAUCAGUGGCCAAGCGAAAGCGAUAAGCCAUCCACCUGGGGAGUACGACCGCAAGGUUGAAACUCAAAGGAAUUGACGGGG
Molecule: ribosomal RNA, 393 nt
Filed under: uncultured bacterium
Lineage: Bacteria
Description: partial 16S ribosomal RNA
Rfam family: Bacterial small subunit ribosomal RNA
Source: RNAcentral